Long non-coding RNA from Neltuma alba, 184 nucleotides. RefSeq lists it as uncharacterized. The record is from RefSeq and is a predicted model, not a curated record. The transcript is spliced from 3 exons. NCBI's taxonomy places the organism in Eukaryota, Viridiplantae, Streptophyta, Magnoliopsida, Fabales, Fabaceae.
GCAAUUCAACUUCCUAUUAAAAAAAUUCUUGUGCACGUCAUCCUUAUGCAGGGACCGUGCUAAUAUUCUUUAUAUCGUUGGAUCAUGGACGUCCCCAAGGGGGCCUAUUAAAAAAAUUUCUCCAACAAAGCAUCUCACUCCAUUCCAAAGAAAUACUCACAAAAAAAACUCAAGGCUGAAAUUG